AGUCAUGUAGUAUAAAAAAUUACAUAAAAUUGCAAAUUUUAAAAAGCAGAAUAGUAUCUGCCGGGGCUU
Molecule: transfer RNA, 69 nt
Filed under: Plethodon cinereus (red-backed salamander)
Lineage: Eukaryota; Metazoa; Chordata; Amphibia; Caudata; Plethodontidae
Description: tRNA-Cys
Source: RNAcentral